Molecule: ribosomal RNA, 117 nt
Filed under: uncultured bacterium
Lineage: Bacteria
Description: partial 16S ribosomal RNA
Rfam family: Bacterial small subunit ribosomal RNA
Source: RNAcentral
CUACGGUGAAUACGUUCCCGGACCUUGUACACACCGCCCGCCAAGCCAUGGAAGCUGGGUGUACCUAAAGUCGAUAACCGUAAGGAGUCGCCUAGGGUAAAACUAGUAACUGGGGCU